UCAUAUAAAAUAUCUGCGCAACAACAGUAUAACGACAUCGAAUUGUCAUUAGAGAAUAGGUCUACAGAAUGCCUUAAACAAACCUUAAAUAAAUGAUUAAUUUCAAAACGGAAAAAGACAGAAUUCUUUUUCACUAUUCAGUGCUACGAACAUAAAAGUUUAAAAAAUUGGCAGCCAUGAUGCAGAACACAGUCCGACUCUGCUUCGUAGCUGUGUCGAAAUGUGUGUUGUGUUGUGUCGUAACAGAAAAGCACGUAUAGCGACACUGUGUUACACUGUGUCAACUGUGUCGCUUGCUGGAAAGCUCCCAAUGUUUACGCUGUAAUUUUGUGUGUUGUGUAAUUUAAAUAUAUGCGAAAUGAUCAAUGUCUCCUGGUUAAUAAUGUCAAUCGCUUUGUUAUCGACUGAUAUAUCGAUAAUACGGAGAUAUCUAUGAAAGAGUUAUCGAUAACUACUCAUCGAUUUUACCGUGCUUCAGCAGAGCGUGAUUACGCGUCAAUCUAAUCGACAUGUCGACGAAAGAGAGAAAAUUUUGCAACGCAUAAAUGUAAUUCUCGAAAUAACGAACGAAAAAUGAAGGCGAGACAUUACAAUGUGCAAAGUUAAAUCAGGUUUUUAUCGGUACAUAUCAACAAAGAUUCCAGACUGUUGUAGGUUGAUCUAGAGAAUUAAUAAAAUAUAAAGCAGAGAAAGGACUUCAUUCUUCAAGCCUGAUUCAACUGUGUCCUUACACAACUCGGAGCCAGGUCGAUAAAUGCGAUUUUCCAAUCGUGUC
Molecule: long non-coding RNA, 775 nt
Filed under: Pogonomyrmex barbatus (red harvester ant)
Lineage: Eukaryota; Metazoa; Arthropoda; Insecta; Hymenoptera; Formicidae
Description: uncharacterized LOC105426507, transcript variant X4
Source: RNAcentral